GAUGAACGCUAGCUACAGGCUUAACACAUGCAAGUCGAGGGGCAGCAUAAUUUUAGCUUGCUAAAAUAGAUGGCGACCGGCGCACGGGUGAGUAACACGUAUCCAACCUGCCUAUUACUUUUGGAUAGGCUUUCGAAAGAAAGAUUAAUACAAAAUGGCAUAAUGUUUCCGCAUGGUUUCAUUAUUAAAGAAUCUCAGUAAUGGAUGGGGAUGCGUUCCAGUAGAUAGUUGGUGGGGUAACGGCCCACCAAGUCCGCGGUGGAUAGGGGUUCUGAGAGGAAGGUCCCCCACAUUGGAACUGAGACACGGUCCAAACUCCUACGGGAGGCAGCAGUGAGGAAUAUUGGUCAAUGGGCGGUAGCCUGAACCAGCCAAGUAGCGUGAAGGAUGAAGGCUCUAUGGGUCGUAAACUUCUUUUAUAAAGGAAUAAAGUCACCUACGUGUAGGUGUUUGUAUGUACUUUAUGAAUAAGGAUCGGCUAACUCCGUGCCAGCCGCCGCCGUAA
Molecule: ribosomal RNA, 505 nt
Filed under: uncultured bacterium
Lineage: Bacteria
Description: partial 16S ribosomal RNA
Rfam family: Bacterial small subunit ribosomal RNA
Source: RNAcentral